RNAcentral lists this transfer RNA (55 nucleotides) under Torquenema toraliforme. RNAcentral's name for it is "tRNA-Cys". The record is from RNAcentral. Lineage: Eukaryota; Metazoa; Nematoda; Chromadorea; Rhabditida; Strongylidae.
AAAUUCUUAGUAUAUUUAGUAUUUUUAAUUGCAAAUUAAAAGGUAAAGAAUUUUG